RNAcentral lists this ribosomal RNA (2654 nucleotides) under Staphylococcus aureus subsp. aureus CIGC340D. Its description in RNAcentral is "bacterial LSU rRNA". It matches the Rfam family "Bacterial large subunit ribosomal RNA". Lineage: Bacteria; Bacillati; Bacillota; Bacilli; Caryophanales; Staphylococcaceae. The record is from RNAcentral.
CCAAACCAACAAGCUUGCUUGUUGGGGUUGUAGGACACUCUAUACGGAGUUACAAAGGACGACAUUAGACGAAUCAUCUGGAAAGAUGAAUCAAAGAAGGUAAUAAUCCUGUAGUCGAAAAUGUUGUCUCUCUUGAGUGGAUCCUGAGUACGACGGAGCACGUGAAAUUCCGUCGGAAUCUGGGAGGACCAUCUCCUAAGGCUAAAUACUCUCUAGUGACCGAUAGUGAACCAGUACCGUGAGGGAAAGGUGAAAAGCACCCCGGAAGGAGAGUGAAAUAGAACCUGAAACCGUGUGCUUACAAGUAGUCAGAGCCCGUUAAUGGGUGAUGGCGUGCCUUUUGUAGAAUGAACCGGCGAGUUACGAUUUGAUGCAAGGUUAAGCAGUAAAUGUGGAGCCGUAGCGAAAGCGAGUCUGAAUAGGGCGUUUAGUAUUUGGUCGUAGACCCGAAACCAGGUGAUCUACCCUUGGUCAGGUUGAAGUUCAGGUAACACUGAAUGGAGGACCGAACCGACUUACGUUGAAAAGUGAGCGGAUGAACUGAGGGUAGCGGAGAAAUUCCAAUCGAACCUGGAGAUAGCUGGUUCUCUCCGAAAUAGCUUUAGGGCUAGCCUCAAGUGAUGAUUAUUGGAGGUAGAGCACUGUUUGGACGAGGGGCCCCUCUCGGGUUACCGAAUUCAGACAAACUCCGAAUGCCAAUUAAUUUAACUUGGGAGUCAGAACAUGGGUGAUAAGGUCCGUGUUCGAAAGGGAAACAGCCCAGACCACCAGCUAAGGUCCCAAAAUAUAUGUUAAGUGGAAAAGGAUGUGGCGUUGCCCAGACAACUAGGAUGUUGGCUUAGAAGCAGCCAUCAUUUAAAGAGUGCGUAAUAGCUCACUAGUCGAGUGACACUGCGCCGAAAAUGUACCGGGGCUAAACAUAUUACCGAAGCUGUGGAUUGUCCUUUGGACAAUGGUAGGAGAGCGUUCUAAGGGCGUUGAAGCAUGAUCGUAAGGACAUGUGGAGCGCUUAGAAGUGAGAAUGCCGGUGUGAGUAGCGAAAGACGGGUGAGAAUCCCGUCCACCGAUUGACUAAGGUUUCCAGAGGAAGGCUCGUCCGCUCUGGGUUAGUCGGGUCCUAAGCUGAGGCCGACAGGCGUAGGCGAUGGAUAACAGGUUGAUAUUCCUGUACCACCUAUAAUCGUUUUAAUCGAUGGGGGGACGCAGUAGGAUAGGCGAAGCGUGCGAUUGGAUUGCACGUCUAAGCAGUAAGGCUGAGUAUUAGGCAAAUCCGGUACUCGUUAAGGCUGAGCUGUGAUGGGGAGAAGACAUUGAGUCUUCGAGUCGUUGAUUUCACACUGCCGAGAAAAGCCUCUAGAUAGAAAAUAGGUGCCCGUACCGCAAACCGACACAGGUAGUCAAGAUGAGAAUUCUAAGGUGAGCGAGCGAACUCUCGUUAAGGAACUCGGCAAAAUGACCCCGUAACUUCGGGAGAAGGGGUGCUCUUUAGGGUUAACGCCCAGAAGAGCCGCAGUGAAUAGGCCCAAGCGACUGUUUAUCAAAAACACAGGUCUCUGCUAAACCGUAAGGUGAUGUAUAGGGGCUGACGCCUGCCCGGUGCUGGAAGGUUAAGAGGAGUGGUUAGCUUCUGCGAAGCUACGAAUCGAAGCCCCAGUAAACGGCGGCCGUAACUAUAACGGUCCUAAGGUAGCGAAAUUCCUUGUCGGGUAAGUUCCGACCCGCACGAAAGGCGUAACGAUUUGGGCACUGUCUCAACGAGAGACUCGGUGAAAUCAUAGUACCUGUGAAGAUGCAGGUUACCCGCGACAGGACGGAAAGACCCCGUGGAGCUUUACUGUAGCCUGAUAUUGAAAUUCGGCACAGCUUGUACAGGAUAGGUAGGAGCCUUUGAAACGUGAGCGCUAGCUUACGUGGAGGCGCUGGUGGGAUACUACCCUAGCUGUGUUGGCUUUCUAACCCGCACCACUUAUCGUGGUGGGAGACAGUGUCAGGCGGGCAGUUUGACUGGGGCGGUCGCCUCCUAAAAGGUAACGGAGGCGCUCAAAGGUUCCCUCAGAAUGGUUGGAAAUCAUUCAUAGAGUGUAAAGGCAUAAGGGAGCUUGACUGCGAGACCUACAAGUCGAGCAGGGUCGAAAGACGGACUUAGUGAUCCGGUGGUUCCGCAUGGAAGGGCCAUCGCUCAACGGAUAAAAGCUACCCCGGGGAUAACAGGCUUAUCUCCCCCAACGAGUUCACAUCGACGGGGAGGUUUGGCACCUCGAUGUCGGCUCAUCGCAUCCUGGGGCUGUAGUCGGUCCCAAGGGUUGGGCUGUUCGCCCAUUAAAGCGGUACGCGAGCUGGGUUCAGAACGUCGUGAGACAGUUCGGUCCCUAUCCGUCGUGGGCGUAGGAAAUUUGAGAGGAGCUGUCCUUAGUACGAGAGGACCGGGAUGGACAUACCUCUGGUGUACCAGUUGUCGUGCCAACGGCAUAGCUGGGUAGCUAUGUGUGGACGGGAUAAGUGCUGAAAGCAUCUAAGCAUGAAGCCCCCCUCAAGAUGAGAUUUCCCAACUUCGGUUAUAAGAUCCCUCAAAGAUGAUGAGGUUAAUAGGUUCGAGGUGGAAGCAUGGUGACAUGUGGAGCUGACGAAUACUAAUCGAUCGAAGACUUAAUCAA